Long non-coding RNA from Lates calcarifer (barramundi perch), 1133 nucleotides. RefSeq lists it as uncharacterized. The record is from RefSeq and is a predicted model, not a curated record. The transcript has 3 exons. NCBI's taxonomy places the organism in Eukaryota, Metazoa, Chordata, Actinopteri, Centropomidae.
UGUCACCGCUUCUUCCAUGACAUCGUCCAUGAUCACAGAGACAUGGUCCAUGAUCGGAGAGACAUUGUUGAGGAUGAGGGAGACAUCGUCCACGAUCAGAGACAUUGUCCGUGAUCGCAGAGACCUUGUCAAAGACGAGAGAGACGUUGUCCUUGAUCAGAGACAUUGUCCCAUGCUUCGUAGAGACCUUGCGAUAGAAUCGGCGGAGACGGGGGUCACCGAUUUGACGGCACUGCCCGCGAUCAUGGAGACAUUGUUAAUGAUCACAGAGACAGCGUCUAUGAUCUCAGAGACAUCGUCCACGAUCACAAAGACACUGUCCGCGAUCACAGAGACUUUGUCCAUAAUCUCAGAGACAUUGUCCACGAUCACAGAGACGUAGUCCACGAUCACAGAGAGUACAAUGAAGAAGUUCUUUGAGACCAGAACAGAAGUCUCCAGGUGUCACCACUUCAUCCACGACAUCGUCCACGAUCACAGAGACAUGGUCCAUGAUCGGAGAGACAUUGUUGAGGAUGAGGGAGACAUCGUCCACGAUCAGAGACAUUGUCCGUGAUCGCAGAGACCUUGUCAAAGACGAGAGAGGCGUUGUCCAUGAUCAGAGACAUUGUCCCAUGCUUCGUAGAGACCUUGCGAUAGAAUCGGCGGAGACGGGGGUCACCGAUUUGACGGCACUGCCCGCGAUCAUGGAGACAUUUGUCGAUGGUCAGAGAGACAGCGUCUAUGAUCUCAGAGACAUCGUCCACGAUCACAAAGACAUUGCCCAUGAUCGCAGAGACUUUGUCCAUAAUCUCAGAGACAUUGUCCGCGAUCACAGAGACAUUGUCCACGAUCACAGAGAGACUUCGUACGAUGAUGAAGUUCUUUGAGACCAGGACAGAGGCCUCCAGGAGGAGAAGACAGCAGCAGCUGAAGACCUGAAGUGGAUGAGAGAAAACAGAAAUGUUAUGAAGCUGUUAAUUAGAUAAAAGACCUCCCAUCAUCUAACUGCAGUGCUGUUGUUCAAAUGAAAACACUUUGUUUUUCUCUACCAUCUAUAAUGUAGUCAUGUGCACAAGACUUUAUUAAACACCUCUGAGAACAUCCAAGGGCUUAUGAUACAACUAUUUAAUAAUUAUAUCACAAGCAGUUCC